This is an RNA transcript of Fragaria vesca subsp. vesca, 808 nucleotides long. RefSeq lists it as uncharacterized. Lineage: Eukaryota; Viridiplantae; Streptophyta; Magnoliopsida; Rosales; Rosaceae. The transcript is spliced from 3 exons. The record is from RefSeq and is a predicted model, not a curated record.
AAGGAUUUCAAUCUUUUGGGUUUGUUCAAUUAGAUCAAACUGUGGUUCUAGUGUGUUUGAUACUUUCAUUUGCUUUAUAGUGCAGGAAAACAAAGGAGUAUGUUCUGAGUCAAAGUAAAGGUUCAGUUGAUAUUAAUUUUUUUUCCUCAAUAUCGACGACAUCAAUUCUUAGAUUGCUCUUUGUCCGGGGUUUAAUUUGUUCCGAUAACUGUGUUAUGUGAUUCAAAUAGAGUUCAAGCUCCUUUGGCCUUUGAUCUUGGUAAAAAAAAAUAUAUAUCCCACCAUUGAAGACCAUUUUGUUCUUAUUUGUCCAUAUUUUGAGCAGCUCUAAUGUCUCGGUAUUUCUUUUGGUUCUAUCCUCUUCUUUUGGUUCUAUCCAUUUUUUUUUGUUUGUUUUCAUUUUCGGUGUAGAGCCGAUGAGAUAUCUUCGGGUGAAAAUCUAUGGAGGAUUUGUUAACAUGUGCCUGGUCGAGUUUGGUUGAUUUUGGGCGGGAUCCAAUUUGUUAGUUUCUCAGAGUGCAAUAUAAAUUUUCCCCAAGAUGGAUUCGUGGGACUAUAGAUUUGGGAAGUUCCCAAUCCUCUGCUCAGAUUGAAUAGAUAAUCUAGGACCUCAAUGAUCGAUUGCACCGAAUUCCAGUAUAUAGCUUGCUGAUUUGAUUUUCAUUUUUUAGCGGUUUAUCAGGUAAAGUUACAGUUUUCAUGAAAUAUACUCAAUUAAAGAAAACUGUAUUUCCUUCUUUCUGAGUUUCAAUCUGAUUUUCGUUUCCUUCUUUCUUUCUUUCUUCUUUUUGCUAUCGAGUGCCACCCG